GGGGGUAUAGCUCAGAUGGUAGAGCAGCUGACUCUUAAUCAGUAGGUCCAAGGUUCGAGUCCUUGUGCCCCUACCA
This 76-nucleotide transfer RNA is filed under the name Azoarcus sp. RNAcentral's name for it is "tRNA-Lys". It matches the Rfam family "tRNA". From Rfam's summary of the family: Transfer RNA (tRNA) molecules are approximately 80 nucleotides in length. Their secondary structure includes four short double-helical elements and three loops (D, anti-codon, and T loops). The record is from RNAcentral. Lineage: Bacteria; Pseudomonadati; Pseudomonadota; Betaproteobacteria; Rhodocyclales; Zoogloeaceae.